GACGAACGCUGGCGGCGUGCUUAACACAUGCAAGUCGAACGGAAAGGCCCUGCUUGCAGGGUACUCGAGUGGCGAACGGGUGAGUAACACGUGGGUGAUCUGCCCUGCACUUCGGGAUAAGCCUGGGAAACUGGGUCUAAUACCGGAUAGGAGCCAUUUUUAGUGUGAUGGUUGGAAAGUUUUUUCGGUGUAGGAUGAGCUCGCGGCCUAUCAGCUUGUUGGUGGGGUAAUGGCCUACCAAGGCGGCGACGGGUAGCCGGCCUGAGAGGGUGGACGGCCACAUUGGGACUGAGAUACGGCACAGACUCCUACGGGAGGCAGAAGUGGGGAAUAUUGCACAAUGGGCGCAAGCCUGAUGCAGCGACGCCGCGUGGGGGAUGACGGCCUUCGGGUUGUAAACUCCUUUCGCUAGGGACGAAGCUUUUUGUGACGGUACCUAGAGAAGAAGCACCGGCUAACUACGUG
RNAcentral lists this ribosomal RNA (465 nucleotides) under uncultured bacterium. RNAcentral describes it as "partial 16S ribosomal RNA". It matches the Rfam family "Bacterial small subunit ribosomal RNA", at positions 28 to 507 of the family's 1533-position model. The record is from RNAcentral.